CCCCUGGGGAGCAGUUGGCUGUGGGGGGAUCCCUCGUCCAGCCAGCAGUUGCUCCCAGUUCAGGAGGUGCUCCUGUACCCUGGCCACAGCCCAAUCCUGCCACUGCUGACAUCUGGGGAGACUUUACCAAAUCUACAGGAUCAACUUCCAGCCAGACCCAGCCAGGCACAGGCUGGGUCCAGUUCUGACCUGAGCACGGUUUUUCCUCAUGUGACUUCUGGGAAGGCGCUCCCUCAUCUGGGCCAAAGGAAGGAGGACGAAGCCCUCCUCAGCUGGCCUGUGUUUGGGGCAUGAAUCUCUCCUCUCCUCCUUGUCUGGCUCUGUUGACAAACCGGGCAUGUUUGGCAGUAAAUUGGCACCGUGUCACACUGUUUCCUGGGAUUCAAGUAUGCAACCAGAACACAGGAGAAGAAAAGCUCCAGGAUCCCUGUCCCCAUCUGUCCUCUUGAUGUGAGAGAGACUCUGAGACUUCUUCCAUCGCAAUGACCUGUAUUAAACACAAGCCCCCCAAGCAAAAGAAGAGGUUGAGUUUGCUGCCAGGAUUCAGAUCAGCCCUUCCCAGGGUCUGCAGGUGUCACAUGAUCACAGUUCAGCGGGAGGCUUUCCGUACCCACACUGGCUGUAGCCACUUCAGUCCAUCUGCCCUCCAGAGGAGGGGUUUCUUCCUGAUUUUUAGCAGGUUUAGAGGCUGCAGCUUGAGCUACAAUCAGGAGGGAAAUUGGAAGGAUUAGCAGCUUUUAAAAAUGUUUAAAUAUUUUGCUUUGCUAAUGUGCUGAUCCGCACUAACUCAUCUUUGCAAAAGGAACUGCUCCCUCGGCGUGCCCCAGCUGGGGCCUCUGAAGGGAUUCCUCACUGUGGGCAGCUGCCCUGAGCUUCAGGCAGCAGUGUUUAUCUCUGGCCAGUUGUCUGGUUUCCAUGUAUUCUAGGCCAGGUAGGCAACACAGAGCCAAGGCGGGUGCUGGAAGCCAGACGGAACAGUGUUGGGGCAGGAAGGUGGAUGCUGUUGUCAUGGAGCUGUGGGAGUUGGCACUCUGUCUGCUGGUGGCCCUCUCGGCUCACAUGUUCACAGUGCAGCUCCUGGCAGACUUGGGUUUUCUCUUUGGUGGUUUCUAAAGUGCCUUAUCUGCAAACAACUUCUUUUCUCCUUCAGGAACUGUGAAUGGCUAGAAGAAGGAGCUCAGUAAACUAGAAGUCCAGGGUUGCUUGGUUUACUGGUUUAUAAGAAAUCUGAAAGCACCUCUGACAUUCCUUUUAUUAACUCACCUCUCAGUUGAAAGAUUUCUUCUUUGAAAGGUCAAGACCGUGAACUGAAAAAAGUGUUGGCCUUUUUGCGGGACCAGAUUUUUAAGAUAAAAUAAAUAUUUUUACUUCUG
Molecule: long non-coding RNA, 1373 nt
Filed under: Homo sapiens (human)
Lineage: Eukaryota; Metazoa; Chordata; Mammalia; Primates; Hominidae
Description: HSALNT0002239
Source: RNAcentral